GAGAAGCUAGGGUGGAGCCCAGCAGUGCUGUGGGUCUCAGAACACAGAGCUCUGGGCAUCUCCACCAUGGCCUGGACCCCUCUCCUGCUCCCCCUCUUCACUCUGUGCACAGGAUCCGUGGCCUCCAGCGAGGUGACCCAGCCACCCACAGUAUCAGUGGCCCUGGGACAGAUGGCUAAAAUCACCUGCUCUGGAGAUAUGAUGGAGAAAAAAUAUACAAAUUGGUACCAGCAGAAGCUAGGCCAAGCUCCUGUGCUGGUCAUUUAUAAAGAUAGCGAGCGGCCCUCAGGGAUCCCUGACCGAUUCUCUGGCUCCAGUUCAGGGAAAACAGUCACCCUGACCAUCAAUGGGGCCCAGGCCGAAGACGAGGCUGACUAUUACUGUCAGUCCUCUACCAUCAAUAAUGAUGCUCACAGUGACACAGGCAGAUGGGGAAAUGAGACACAAACCUUCCCCAUCUGUGUGACACUCUCUUCACCCCAGGAUGACUGCAUAAAACUAUCGGUCCCAGUCCACUUUGUUAUACUGCCCUGCACAGUCCCGCAGGUGGCUGCUUCCCUGUUGCCCGGAGUUGAGUGGGGGUUGGGGAAGUGUCGCAGGCUCAGAUCUGAAGGCGUCAAGCAGCGAUACAACCCGAGUGCAGUCAGGGAACGUAGUAACUUUAGGUCCGCAGAGUCCGUGUCGCCGCAGCGCGCCACCGCUGCUUAA
Hyaena hyaena (striped hyena) is the source of this 708-nucleotide non-coding RNA. The record is from the annotation of a RefSeq genome assembly. Lineage: Eukaryota; Metazoa; Chordata; Mammalia; Carnivora; Hyaenidae.